GACGAACGCUGGCGGCGUGCUUAACACAUGCAAGUCGAACGGAAAGGCCCUGCUUGCAGGGUACUCGAGUGGCGAACGGGUGAGUAACACGUGGGUGAUCUGCCCUGCACUUCGGGAUAAGCUUGGGAAACUGGGUCUAAUACCGGAUAGGAGCCAUCUUUAGUGUGGUGGUUGGAAAGUUUUUUCGGUGUAGGAUGAGCUCGCGGCCUAUCAGCUUGUUGGUGGGGUAAUGGCCUACCAAGGCGGCGACGGGUAGCCGGCCUGAGAGGGUGUACGGCCACAUUGGGACGGAGAUACGGCCCAGACUCCGACGGGAGGCAGCAGGGGGGAAUAUUGCACAAUGGGCGCAAGCCUGAGGCAGCGACGCCGCGUGGGGGAUGAAGGCCUUCGGGUUGUAAACUCCUUUCGCUAGGGACGAAGCUUUUUUGUGACGGUACCUAGAUAAGAAGCACCGGCUAACUACGUG
This 466-nucleotide ribosomal RNA is filed under the name uncultured bacterium. Its description in RNAcentral is "partial 16S ribosomal RNA". It matches the Rfam family "Bacterial small subunit ribosomal RNA", at positions 28 to 507 of the family's 1533-position model. The record is from RNAcentral.